GAUCCUGGCUCAGGAUGAACGCUAGCUACGGGCUUAACACAUGCAAGUCGAGGGGCAUCAGGGUGUAGCAAUACACCGCUGGCGACCGGCGCACGGGUGAGUAACACGUAUCCAACCUGCCCUUUACUCGGGGAUAGCCUUUCGAAAGAAAGAUUAAUACCCGAUGGUAUAACAUGACCUCCUGGUUUUGUUAUUAAAGAAUUUCGGUAGAGGAUGGGGAUGCGUUCCAUUAGGCAGUUGGCGGGGUAACGGCCCACC
RNAcentral lists this ribosomal RNA (258 nucleotides) under uncultured bacterium. RNAcentral describes it as "partial 16S ribosomal RNA". It matches the Rfam family "Bacterial small subunit ribosomal RNA", at positions 15 to 269 of the family's 1533-position model. The record is from RNAcentral.